RNAcentral lists this ribosomal RNA (253 nucleotides) under uncultured Schlesneria sp. RNAcentral describes it as "partial 16S ribosomal RNA". It matches the Rfam family "Bacterial small subunit ribosomal RNA", at positions 524 to 776 of the family's 1533-position model. The record is from RNAcentral. Lineage: Bacteria; Pseudomonadati; Planctomycetota; Planctomycetia; Planctomycetales; Planctomycetaceae.
UACGAACUGUGCGAACGUUAUUCGGAAUCACUGGGCUUAAAGGGUGCGUAGGCGGUUAUCUAAGUCACGUGUGAAAUCUUCCGGCUCAACCGGAAAACUGCGCGUGAUACUGGAUGACUUGAGUGAGGUAGGGGUGUGUGGAACUUCCGGUGGAGCGGUGAAAUGUGUAGAGAUCGGAAGGAACGCCAGCAGCGAAAGCGGCACACUGGGCCUUUUCUGACGCUGAGGCACGAAAGCUAGGGGAGUGAACGGG